GACUAUAAAGUACUCUAGUAAAAUUAUUUAGAAGAUUGCUAAUCCUCUCAGCUACAGAAAUGCCCUGGGAUGCCAUGUUAAAGAACUUCCAUAUCAUGCAAUGUCUGAAGAACAAAGUAGACCUGAGAGGUUAGUACUGCUGCUGUUCAGAGUUCCAAGUGCCACCUGAAGCCUGACAUGUGCCUCAUGAAGUCAGGGAUGAAACAGGCUGUUGAGUUUGGGCGGAUUCUGGCCAGCAUGCACUCAUGUCAGCCGCUGUCCACCAGGGGGUGCAGCUUCCCACCACGUUCUGAUUUCCUGGGGAAUGUGGGUUUUCACUGAUCAUUUCUCCGUGACUUGAACAUUUCUUCAUGUUAAGAAGGAGAAACAUUAUCUAGGUGACGCUCCAGACAUGAAGUGUGCUCCAGGGGUCGUGACUGUACUGCUCUUACUGCUUGGACAAACCCAUGGAGACUCAGUGAACCAGACGGAAGGCCAAGUGAUCCUCUCAGAAGAGGCUUUCCUAUCUAUAAACUGUACCUACUCAACAACAGGAUCCCCCACUCUAUUCUGGUAUGUCCAGUAUCUGGGAGAAGGUCCACAGCUCCUCCUGAAAGCAUUAAGAGACAAGGAAAAGGGAAGCAGCAAAGGUUUUGAAGCCACCUUGGACAAAACAUCCAGAUCCUUCCACUUGAAGAAAGGCUCAGUGCAACUGUCAGACUCAGCUGUGUACUACUGUGCCCUGAGAGACACAGUGAUAGGGACUGCAGGGGGAGCUGGGUGCAAACUCUGAGCAGAGCAGGGCCUG
Molecule: non-coding RNA, 787 nt
Organism: Canis lupus familiaris (dog)
Lineage: Eukaryota; Metazoa; Chordata; Mammalia; Carnivora; Canidae
Source: the annotation of a RefSeq genome assembly